RNAcentral lists this ribosomal RNA (245 nucleotides) under uncultured bacterium. RNAcentral describes it as "partial 16S ribosomal RNA". It matches the Rfam family "Bacterial small subunit ribosomal RNA", at positions 524 to 768 of the family's 1533-position model. The record is from RNAcentral.
UACGAAGGGGGCUAGCGUUGCUCGGAAUCACUGGGCGUAAAGGGUGCGUAGGCGGGUCUUUAAGUCAGGGGUGAAAUCCUGGAGCUCAACUCCAGAACUGCCUUCGAUACUGGCGAGCUCGAGUCCGGGAGAGGUGAGUGGAACUGCGAGUGUAGAGGUGAAAUUCGUAGAUAUUCGCAAGAACACCAGUGGCGAAGGCGGCUCACUGGCCCGGUACUGACGCUGAGGCACGAAAGCGUGGGGAG